GAUGAAGAACGUAGCGAAAUGCGAUACGUAAUGUGAAUUGCAGAAUUCAGUGAAUCAUCGAAUCUUUGAACGCAUAUUGCGCUCUCUGGUAUUCCGGAGAGCAUGCUUGUUUGAGUAUCAGUAAACACCUCAACUUCCAUAUCUUUUUUGAAAUGGGAGUUGGACUUGAGUGAUCCCAACGCUUUUCCUCACCGAAAAGUGGCGGGUUACUUGAAAUGCAGGUGCAGCUGGACUUUUCUCUGAGCUAUAAGCAUAUCUAUUUAGUCUGCCUAAAAAACAGAUUAUUACCUUUGCUGCAGCUAACAUAAAGGAGAUUAGUUCUUGUGCUGACUGAUGCAGGAUUCACAAAGACAGCUUCGGCUGGCCUUUGUAAACUCGAUCUCAAAUCAAGUAAGACUACCCGCUGAACUUAAGCAUAUCAAUAAGCGGAGGA
Molecule: unclassified non-coding RNA, 433 nt
Filed under: soil metagenome
Description: partial contains 5.8S ribosomal RNA, internal transcribed spacer 2, and large subunit ribosomal RNA
Rfam family: 5.8S ribosomal RNA (bases 1-120)
Source: RNAcentral